AUGGUGUCCGAUGCCAGCAAGAAGAAAGCCGCGCAGAAGAAGGCCGCCGCCGCCGCCAAGAGGGGAGCCAAGUCCAGCGCCGCUGCCUCGUCCUCGUCGGCGUCGUCGGCGGCCGAUAAGGCCGCCAAUGGCAUAGCGGCCCUUAACUUAUCCGAUCGGACAUGUACCGGGGUCCUGGCUUCGCAUCCGCUCUCCCGUGAUAUCCACAUUGAGUCCCUUUCAUUAACAUUUCAUGGACAUGACCUUAUUGUGGAUUCAGAAUUGGAGCUUAACUACGGGAGGCGGUAUGGUUUGCUCGGCUUAAAUGGUUGUGGGAAAUCUACCCUUCUCACCGCAAUAGGCUGCAGGGAACUCCCCAUUCCUGAACACAUGGACAUACAUCAUCUUACGCGUGAGAUUGAGGCUUCUGACAUGUCUGCGCUGCAAGCUGUUAUCUGUUGUGAUGAAGAAAGAGUGAAGUUGGAAAAGGAAGCUGAAAUUCUGGCUGCACAGGAUGAUGGUGGCGGUGAAGCUUUGGAUCUUGUAUAUGAGCGGUUAGAAGCAAUGGAUGCAUCAACUGCUGAAAAGCGUGCUGCUGAGAUAUUGUUUGGUCUAGGUUUUGACAAGCAAAUGCAAGCAAAGCCAACACGAGAUUUUUCUGGGGGUUGGCGUAUGAGGAUUGCAUUGGCAAGGGCGCUGUUCAUGAACCCGACCAUCCUUUUGCUUGAUGAGCCAACCAACCAUCUUGAUCUCGAGGCUUGUGUCUGGCUGGAAGAGAAAUUAAAGAAUUUUGAGCGUAUACUUGUUGUUAUCUCGCAUUCCCAAGAUUUUCUAAAUGGAGUGUGCACUAACAUCAUCCACAUGCAGAACAAGACCCUCAAGUUAUAUACUGGAAAUUAUGACCAGUAUGUUCAAACUCGCUCUGAGCUUGAAGAGAAUCAAAUGAAGCAGUACAAAUGGGAACAGGAACAGAUAGCUAAUAUGAAGGAGUACAUUGCCCGAUUUGGUCAUGGAUCUGCGAAGCUUGCUCGUCAGGCUCAGAGCAAAGAGAAGACUCUUGCAAAGAUGGAGCGUGGUGGUCUUGCUGAGAAGGUUGUCAAUGACAGGAUUCUUGUUUUCCGCUUUACAGAUGUUGGCAAACUCCCACCACCAGUGCUGCAGUUUGCUGAUGUGACAUUUGGUUACACUCCGGAUAAUCUCAUCUACAAGAACCUUGACUUCGGUGUUGACCUUGACUCGAGAGUUGCACUGGUCGGUCCCAAUGGGGCAGGUAAGAGCACACUUCUGAAGCUCAUGACAGGUGACCUAUCUCCGUUGGAUGGCAUGGUCAGACGCCACAACCACCUACGCAUUGCACAAUUCCAUCAACAUCUCACUGAGAAGCUGGACCUGGACAUGCCGGCCCUGCAGUACAUGAUGAGGGAGUACCCUGGGAAUGAAGAGGAGAAGAUGAGAGCUGCGAUUGGCAAGUUUGGCCUGUCAGGAAAGGCACAGGUGAUGCCAAUGAAAAACCUGUCUGAUGGGCAGAAGGCCCGUGUCAUUUUUGCUUGGCUAGCAUUUAGGCAGCCACAGAUGCUGUUGCUUGAUGAGCCGACAAAUCAUCUUGACAUUGAGACCAUUGACUCACUUGCUGAGGCACUGAAGGAAUGGGACGGGGGGUUGGUCCUGGUGAGCCAUGACUUCAGGCUGAUCAAUCAGGUUGCUCAAGAGAUCUGGGUCUGUGAGAACCAGGCGGUGACUAGGUGGGAAGGCGAUAUCAUGGAUUUCAAGCAACACUUGAAGAAAAGGGCUGGUCUCUAG
This 1779-nucleotide ribosomal RNA is filed under the name Triticum aestivum (bread wheat). RNAcentral describes it as "partial small subunit ribosomal RNA". The record is from RNAcentral. Lineage: Eukaryota; Viridiplantae; Streptophyta; Magnoliopsida; Poales; Poaceae.